Molecule: ribosomal RNA, 497 nt
Filed under: uncultured bacterium
Lineage: Bacteria
Description: partial 16S ribosomal RNA
Rfam family: Bacterial small subunit ribosomal RNA
Source: RNAcentral
GAUGAACGCUGGCGGCGUGCCUAAUACAUGCAAGUCGAGCGAACAGACGAGGAGCUUGCUCCUCUGACGUUAGCGGCGGACGGGUGAGUAACACGUGGAUAACCUCCCUAUAAGACUGGGAUAACUUCGGGAAACCGGAGCUAAUACCGUAUAAUAUAUUGAACCGCAUGGUUCAAUAGUGAAAGACGGUUUUGCUGUCACUUAUAGAUGGAUCCGCGCCGCCUUAGCUAGUUGGUAAGGUAACGGCUUACCAAGGCAACGCUGCGUAGCCGACCGGAGAGGGUGGUCGGCCACAUGGGAGCGGGGACGCGGACCAGAGUCCUGCGGGACGCCGCAGUAGGGUACCGGCCGCAAUGGGGGAGAGCCUGACGGAACGACGGGGAGUGAGAGGUGAAGGUCUUCGGAUCGGAAAACUGUGUUAUGGGGGGAGAACAAAUGUGGAAGGAACUGUGGACGGCGUGACGGUACCGGAUCAGAAAGCCACGGCUAACUACGUG